GACGAACGCUGGCGGCGUGCUUAACACAUGCAAGUCGAACGGAAAGGCCUGCUUUCCCUUGUGGAUUGCGGGUACUCGGGUGGCGAACGGGUGAGUAACACGUGAGUGAUCUGCCCCCAACUUGGGUAUAAGCCUGGGAAACUGGGUCUAAUUACCGAUAGGACUGCAGGGUGGUGCCGGGGGUGGAAAACGAUUUGCUAGUGGUUGGGGAUGAGCUCGCGGGCUAUCAGCUUGUUGGUGGGGUAAUGGCCUAACAAGGCGGCGACCGGUAGACGGCCUGGGAGGGUGGCCGGGGAAAUUGGGAACGGUCCACGCUCCUGAGGGAUGCGGGAGGCGGGAGUCGGGCAUAUUGCGCGAUGGGCUGAAGGCUGAUGCCGGGGCGCGUGGUGGGGGAUGACGGCUCUUGGGUUGUUAUUUCCUUUGGACCGCGAGGAAGCCACCUGGUUGGAAGGGUGGUGCCGGUAGUGGUAGAAGAAGCACCGGCUAACUCCGU
RNAcentral lists this ribosomal RNA (493 nucleotides) under uncultured bacterium. RNAcentral describes it as "partial 16S ribosomal RNA". It matches the Rfam family "Bacterial small subunit ribosomal RNA", at positions 28 to 506 of the family's 1533-position model. The record is from RNAcentral.